Molecule: ribosomal RNA, 392 nt
Filed under: uncultured bacterium
Lineage: Bacteria
Description: partial 16S ribosomal RNA
Rfam family: Bacterial small subunit ribosomal RNA
Source: RNAcentral
AUACGUAGGUGGCAAGCGUUAUCCGGAAUUAUUGGGCGUAAAGAGUGAGCAGGCGGCCAUUUAAGUCAGCGGUUAAAUCGUGGGGCUCAACCCCAUUCUGCCGUUGAUACUGGGUGGCUUGAUUGCGGUCGAGGUUGGCGGAAUUCGUUGUGUAGCGGUGAAAUGCAUAGAUAUGACGAAGAACACCGAUUGCGUAGGCAGCUGACCAGACCGCAAAUGACGCUCAUGCACGAAAGUGCGGGGAUCGAACAGGAUUAGAUACCCUGGUAGUCCGCACAGUAAACGAUGAAUACUUGUUUUCGGCGAUAUAAUGUCGGAGGCAAAGCGAAAGCGAUAAGUAUUCCACCUGGGGAGUACGCCGGCAACGGUGAAACUCAAAUGAAUUGACGGGG